Molecule: ribosomal RNA, 465 nt
Filed under: Vreelandella stevensii
Lineage: Bacteria; Pseudomonadati; Pseudomonadota; Gammaproteobacteria; Oceanospirillales; Halomonadaceae
Description: partial 16S ribosomal RNA
Rfam family: Bacterial small subunit ribosomal RNA
Source: RNAcentral
CCUACGGGGGGCAGCAGUGGGGAAUAUUGGACAAUGGGGGCAACCCUGAUCCAGCCAUGCCGCGUGUGUGAAGAAGGCCCUCGGGUUGUAAAGCACUUUCAGUGAGGAAGAACGCCUGGUGGUUAAUACCCAUCAGGAAAGACAUCACUCACAGAAGAAGCACCGGCUAACUCCGUGCCAGCAGCCGCGGUAAUACGGAGGGUGCGAGCGUUAAUCGGAAUUACUGGGCGUAAAGCGCGCGUAGGUGGCUUGAUAAGCCGGUUGUGAAAGCCCCGGGCGCAACCUGGGAACGGCAUCCGGAACUGUCAAGCUAGAGUGCAGGAGAGGAAGGUAGAAUUCCCGGUGUAGCGGUGAAAUGCGUAGAGAUCGGGAGGAAUACCAGUGGCGAAGGCGGCCUUCUGGACUGACACUGACACUGAGGUGCGAAAGCGUGGGUAGCAAACAGGAUUAGAUACCCUUGUAGUC